AUACGUAGGGGCAAGCGUUAUCCGGAUUUACUGGGUGUAAAGGGAGCGUAGACGGCACUGCAAGUCUGGAGUGAAAGCCCGGGGCUCAACCCCGGGACUGCUUUGGAAACUGUGGGUGCUAGAGUGCAGGAGAGGUAAGUGGAAUUCCUAGUGUAGCGGUGAAAAGUGCGUAGAUAUUAGGAGGAACACCAGUGGCGAAGGCGGCUUACUGGACUGUAACUGACGUUGAGGCUCGAAAGCGUGGGGAGC
This 249-nucleotide ribosomal RNA is filed under the name uncultured bacterium. Its description in RNAcentral is "partial 16S ribosomal RNA". It matches the Rfam family "Bacterial small subunit ribosomal RNA", at positions 523 to 769 of the family's 1533-position model. The record is from RNAcentral.